UACGUAGGGUGCGAGCGUUAAUCGGAAUUACUGGGCGUAAAGCGUGCGUAGGCGGUUCGUUAAGGGCGUCGUGAAAGCCCCGGGCUCAACCUGGGAAUGGCGAUGGAAACUGGCGGGCUGGAGUAUGGCAGAGGGGGGUGGAAUUCCGCGUGUAGCAGUGAAAUGCGUAGAUAUCUGGAGGAACACCGGUGGCGAAGGCGGCAUUCUGGACCGAUAUUGACGCUGAGGAGCGAAAGCCAGGGGAGCAAACGGG
RNAcentral lists this ribosomal RNA (253 nucleotides) under uncultured bacterium. RNAcentral describes it as "partial 16S ribosomal RNA". It matches the Rfam family "Bacterial small subunit ribosomal RNA", at positions 524 to 776 of the family's 1533-position model. The record is from RNAcentral.